AUUGAACGCUGGCGGCAUGCCUUACACAUGCAAGUCGAACGGCAGCACGGGUGCUUGCACCUGGUGGCGAGUGGCGAACGGGUGAGUAAUACAUCGGAACAUGUCCUGUAGUGGGGGAUAGCCCGGCGAAAGCCGGAUUAAUACCGCAUACGAUCUACGGAUGAAAGCGGGGGACCUUCGGGCCUCGCGCUAUAGGGUUGGCCGAUGGCUGAUUAGCUAGUUGGUGGGGUAAAGGCCUACCAAGGCGACGAUCAGUAGAUGGUCUGAGAGGACGACCAGCCACACUGGGACUGAGACACGGCCCAGACUCCUACGGGAGGCAGCAGUGGGGAAUUUUGGACAAUGGGCGAAAGCCUGAUCCAGCAAUGCCGCGUGUGUGAAGAAGGCCUUCGGGUUGUAAAGCACUUUUGUCCGGAAAGAAAUACUUGGCUCUAAUACAGUCGGGGGAUGACGGUACCGGAAGAAUAAGCACCGGCUAACUACGUG
This 486-nucleotide ribosomal RNA is filed under the name uncultured bacterium. RNAcentral's name for it is "partial 16S ribosomal RNA". It matches the Rfam family "Bacterial small subunit ribosomal RNA", at positions 30 to 507 of the family's 1533-position model. The record is from RNAcentral.